RNAcentral lists this long non-coding RNA (40835 nucleotides) under Populus trichocarpa (black cottonwood). RNAcentral describes it as "long non-coding RNA (PTRI_LNC002167)". The record is from RNAcentral. Lineage: Eukaryota; Viridiplantae; Streptophyta; Magnoliopsida; Malpighiales; Salicaceae.
CUGCUAAAGGUGAGAUAAACAUUUCACGGAGUAAUGUUGAAACCGGAGGUAGAAACCCUGAUACGGAGAACAAGGGGAAGGGAAACAGCAAGUCCAAGAAAAACAAGAAGGGAAAAGGAGGGCGGAAACGCAAGUAGCCUUAAACCUUUAACGAAUUAAGUAGUCUUCUAAAAAAAAAUAACCUUUUCUUCUGCAUUUGUUUAUAGCAGUGUGAUUUUUCCUUUCCUUUCCUUUUUUUUUCUUUUUUUUUUCCUGUAUGGAGAAAGAAAAAAAUUAUAUUAUGAGGUCAUAACACCUACAAAAAACUUGCAAUAUACUGUAAUUAUUUUCAAUUAUUUAUGUUGACUUGUUCAUCUCUCCAAUGGCAGGAUCGUUAAUGGUCAAAUCUUACACCAUACAGCCUCUCAAGAUAAUUUUUCCUGUAUGGAGAAAGAAAAAAAUUAUAUUAUGAGGUCAUAACACCUACAAAAAACUUGCAAUAUACUGUAAUUAUUUUCAAUUAUUUAUGUUGACUUGUUCAUCUCUCCAGUGGCAGGAUCGUCAAUGGUCAAAUCUUACACCAUACAGCCUCUCAAGAUAAAAGGAACUGUUCCCUCCAUGCAGGCAUCCUGAAUGUGCAACUCUAUUAAUAUAAAUCACUUCAAAAUUACCCAUAUUAUUAUAUUGCACACUCUCCAUCUUGCCUCAUCAUCCUGAAAAUCUGUGCAGCAAAUAUAUUAUCUAACUUAUUCCUAAAAAAAUUCCACAUUUCAAGAUUGAUUUGAAGAAUAUUUUAAAACCACAAUAUUCCAAACACAAGAAAUGCAGGCCAACAAGAUAUCAUGUUUUGCAAGUAAAGCCAAUAGUUUUACCAUUAACAUGGAGACAAUCCUCAAGAGGAAUGAUCAAAACCAUUGUUGUGGUAACAAUGCAAGUGUUACAGCUCUAUAAAACUCAGUUCUUUUUUCUUUGUUCCUUUUAAUUAUCCUUGGUGAUCAACUUCAGCCACGUUUCCAGAUCAAUCCUACACUAAAUGAGAUGGAGGAUUAUUACCCAAAAAUCCAAUGUCUUCCUUCUCUAUCUGGAGAGUAGCUGAACUCUCCAAAUCAUUAUUACUUCAAAACUUCAAAAACCAAAACUCAGUUCUUCUCAUUUGACCCAAAAAGCUUCAUCCUUGAUAAUGAGGUCCUCAAAUACCCCUCCACCUCAAACUUCUUUGGCGAAAGCUCACGAUACUUGGCAAACUGCUCUUUUACCCCCUCAUUUCUAUCAAGUAAACUAUAUAUAAUCCCUCUACAAAAAUAAGGCCCGAAAUCUUUAGGAUCCUCUUUUGACAACUCUUGAUAACUCUUCAACGCCUUCUCCACAUUCUUUUGCAGGAACUGCAUUUGUGCCAUAAUCAGCCUCACGUUCCUCGCUUCUUUCACUUUAUUCUCCUCUCCUGCAAUAUCUAAAGCCUCUUGUAACCUUCUAAUAACCGCCUCUCCUUCUCCACAGCGGUCCAUUAGUAGUGGAUUCUCGAACAAAGCCUCAAAAGACAAAGGAUUAUAGACAAGAAUUUCUUCAAACACAUUGCGAGCAUCUUGUACUCGACCCAUUUAAUUUGGCUCGGCAAUCUUGCCAUUAAAAACUUCCACCCAGUUACUGUUGUGCAUACUGGACCGAAAACAAACACAAAUAAAAACACAAACAAACAGAUUUACGUGGUUCCCAAAAACCGGAUACGUCCACGGAGGCAGCAGAUUGUAUAUUAUUGAAGGAAUGAUACAAACACUCAACUCAACCCAAUACAACCCCACAAAACCCAGUGUUUCACUCUUACACUCGGUGUUUUUCUCAAAUCUGCACUUGCACUCACUCUCACAGUUGCACUGUCUUCCUCUCUCUGCACACACUUGCACUGUCUCUGUACUACUCUCUGCACUCUCUCGUCUCUGUCUCCAUUUAUACAAGAAAGAAGAGCCUUGGCAGCAACCCAUGUGCAACCUAAUAAAUGCCAACCAACUACUACAAGAAGAAAGUCAUGGUGGUUGGAAAAAGGUUGACAAAUUUGCUACAAAUCUCCACCUUGGCAAGAUUUUUCCAUCCAAUCCUCGUGAUCGAUCAAUGAUGCCUCUAACGCGCCAUAUGGCGCUGCACCCUGAAGGUGCUCAACACCGAGAGAUGUUGACCAAGUCCAAACAAUGUUGGAACUUGAUCCCUGAGACACAUUUUGUGAGCAUGUCAGCUGGAUUAUUUGCGGUACCAAUCUUCUGUAGCAGAAUAUCCCCUUCAUCCACAAUUUCUCGAACAAAAUGAAAACGAACAUCGAUGUGCUUGGUACGGGAAUGAUGAACCUGAUUCUUUGCUAAACAAAUAGCACUUUGACUAUCACAAUGGACAUCCACGUGCUCUUGAACAAUUCCCAAAUCUUCAAUCAACCCAUGCAACCAAAUAGCUUCCUUGAAAGCUUAUGUUACUGCCAUGUACUCUGCCUCAAUUGUUGACAAAGCUACUGUUGAUUGUAAUGUUGACUUCCAACUUACAGGCCCUUUAGCGAGUGUAAACACAUAGCCUGUUGUGGAACGACGCUUGUCUAAGUCGCCAGCAUAGUCCGAAUCCACAUAACCAACUAAAUUUUGUCCGAGUCUAUCAUCCCUCUCAAACUUCAAACCAAUAUCAGUUGUGCCAUGAAUGUAUCUUAGAAUCCACUUAACUGCCUGCCAGUGACCCUUUCCCGAAUCAUGCAUAUACCUGCUUACCAUACUGAUAGCAUGUGAAAUAUCUGGUCUCGUACAAACCAUUGCAUACAUUAAUGCACCAACUGUAUUUGCAUAAGGAAUUUGAGCCAUAUGUUUGCGCUCUUCCUCUGUGCGUGGAGACAUUAAAGCACUUAGCUUAAAAUGAGGAGCUAAAGGUGUGCUUACAGGCUUGGUCUUACCAUCUACCCCAAAUCUCUGUAGAAUUUUCUUCAAGUAUUGGGUAUGUGUCAAACAGACUGUGCCUUUUCUUCUGUCUCUCUGAAUCUCCAUGCCAAGAAUCUUCUUAGCUUCUCCAAGGUCCUUCAUUUCAAACUCAGUUCUUAGUUGAGCUUUCAGUCUAUCAAUCUCCACCUUGCUCUUCGAUGCGAUCAACAUAUCAUCCACAUAUAAGAGCAAAUAGAUGAAAGAACCAUCGAGAAGUUUGCGAAAAUAUACAUAGUUGUCAAACUGACUCCGUGUGUAUCCAUAUUCUGUCAUGAACUUAUCAAAUCGCUUAUACCACUGAUGAGGAGAUUGUUUCAAUCCAUACAAUGACUUCUUCAGUUUACAAGCCCAAUUCUCUUUCCCAAUGACUUUGAAACCAUCUGGCUGAGACAUGUAAAUUUCCUCUUCCAAAUCUCCAUGUAGGAAGACAGUUUUCACAUCAAGUUGGGCUAACUCCAAAUCAAAUUGUGCAACUAAGGCUAACAGAAUACAAAUUGAUGAAUGCUUAACAACUGGAGAGAAUACCUCAUUAUAAUUUAUCCCCUCCUUCUAAGCAUAGCCUUUUGCUACCAAUCUUGCUUUGAAUCAGAUGUUGUCUUUUCCAGGAUUACCUUCCUUCUUGGCAUAUACCCACUUGCAACCAAUUGUCUUCUUUCCCUUAGGGAGUUGUACCAAAUCCCAAGUCUGAUUCUUGUGGAGAGAUUUCAUCUCUUCAUCUAUUGCCUCUUUCCAUUUUGCACUUUCUACACUCUGUACUGCUUCUUUGUAGGUGUAGGGGAUUCCAUCAUCAAUCACUGGAAGUGCAUAAGCCACCAUGUUACAAUACCGAGCAGGUUUCUUGAUAACCCUUUUUGGUUUACUCGUUGCAAUGGAUUCUUGUUAUGUGGUUGCUGGAGUUAUUGCAUCCUCUUCAUCUGAACUUUCAUCUGAAUCUCCUUCAGUAGGGAUUGUCUGAACAGUCUUUACAGGAAUGACUGAAGUAUCCAACUCCACCUGUUGUGCAUCACCAGAUUGUUUUUCCUUCUCCUGUGAUUUCUCUUGUUGUAACAUGCCAGACUUGUUGUAACCCAUUUUUGGGUCCCCACAAAAUAUAUAUAAAAAUAUAUAGCCAAAAGAGGUUAGAAAAAUAACAGGAGGCAGAAGCGCUCAGAAAAUGGUUGGAAAAUCGGUCAAUGAGGUUAAAAAUACAAAAAUUGGAUUUUUGACAGUAUAUUCUUGAAGGAGGAGAACCCUGUUGAGAAGGAAAAUUUGAAUUUUGAGGAGAAAAGCCCAAAUUUGGAUGUUUAUGGACUUAAUUGGAUUUUUAAAUGAAUUUAUAGGAGAUUUGAUUGUAAGAAAAAUUGAUUUUUAAGUCAAUUUGGGCUUUAAUUAGAAGAAAUUUAAGUUCUGGGGCCAAAAUAUAUUUUUUAGGAAUUUAUUAGGUCAAAUCAGGGGCUUAAUUGCAUAAAUAUUGAAGUUUAAGGGCCAAUUGGGGACUUAAUUGAAGGAAUCCGAAACCAAGGACCAAAUUGGAGAAGGCGCGUAAGUAUAGGGGCUGGAAUUAAUUGAUUCAGGGGCCUAAUUGAAGAAAUUGGAAGUUUAUUGAUCAAUUAAGGGCUCAAUUGCAUAAUUCAGAGGCCAAGGACCAAAGUGAAAAACGCGGCCAAAUAUAGGGACGGGGUUCGAAUUGGCAGGGAUGCAAUUGAAGAAAAAAAAGAUGAUUGAGGGCUGAUUUGAAAUUUGGCGCGUUUUGGCGCCACAUUUAAAUGAAACGGCGCGUUUUCUCCAAAAUGACGCCGUUUCAUACAUUCAAAAAAAAAAAAAAGAAGAAAGAGCAGAACGGUGUCGUUUUGAACGACACUGUUCAUCUUCUUCCCCCGAUCACGCAGCGGGGAAGAAGGAAAAAAGGGUUGCUUUUUUUUGAAUUUUUGCCGGCCACUCUCGCCUAGAGCCCACCGACCACCCACCGCGCACCUGCCAGAAAACCGAGGAGGGGGGGGCCGAACCUUGGCAGUCGCGCCCAAUGGCCGACCGGCCGGUUGCUCCCCAUGCUCCACAGCGAAAAGGCCACACCCUUGGCUCUAUAAAUGGAACCUCAAGAACGCUGAUGAAAAGGAAGAGUGGAGGGGGAGAAAGAAACGGAAAAAAACAGAGGAGAGGGGUGGAGAACGGAAAAAACCGAAAGAGAGAGAAAGGGGAGAGGAAUAAGAGUGAACCGAAAGAAAAGAGAAGGGACAGGGGAAAGAAAACCAAAGGAAAGAGGAAGAAUCCCUCUCUCCACCGCUUGAGACAGCAGCGCCGCUGUUUGAAGCUGCCUCCAGUGAGCAGCGACACCGUUACCCGUCUCCGCCUCCAGCAGCACCAGCACCAGCACCGCCUCCAGCAGCACCAGCACCAGCAGCACCAGCAACGACAGCGCCACCACCUCCUCCGCGCCAGGUAACCCUUCUUCUCCCUCAUUCUUGCGUUUUUUUUUGUUUUUUUUCUUCUUUUCCUCUGCAUGCAGAACGAAUAGCGUUCUGCAUGCAGAAGCGGGGGGAAAAUAAUUCCCCCCGCCCGUUUUGUUGCUGGGCCAGGUUGAUCCUGGCCCAGCCCAGUCAUCUGGGCCGGGUCUGGCCCAGAAGAGUUUUUUUGGGCCGAGAUCGGCACAAUACAUUUUUGGGCCGACAUCGGCCCAUCAUUGUUUUGGGCUGAGUCCGGCCCAGUGAUUUGGGCCGGCCCAGCCCGAUUUAAUAUUAUAUUUUAUAUAUAUAUUAUAUUUUGUAUUAUUUAUAUAUAUAUAUAUAUAUAUAUAUACAUGAAAAAAUUAUAAAAAUUAUGCAAAAAUUAUAGAAAAAUAUAUGUGAUUUUGUUGUAAUUUAUUACUGUAUUUUGAUUAAUAUUGGUUGGUAUUUUAUACUGUAAAGAUACAAAAUCCGGUAUUAAAAUACCCGGUUUUCAAAAAAUGUCUUUUGCUUUCAAAAAUUUUCUAAAAAUAUCUUUGAAAAUAUUGUUGAUUUUUCUGCAUUUGUUUUAUCAAAGUGGAUUAAUAUUUGGUUGUAUUUUUAUACCGUAUUAAAAUACCCGAUUUGCGUCAAAAUAUACAAAAAAAUACAUAUUUAAAAACAAUGUUUUGUUUUAAAAUACGGCCUAGUCUCUCCAAUAUAUAUAUAUAUAAAUAUUAUAACAUCAUAUUUUCACACAACAAAAGAAAUUUCAAAACAAUAUAUGUAUUAGCACGCAUUUUGGCUUUAAUAACCAGUUUAUUCAAGCCAUGAGAACUAGGCCAAUAUUUCAAAAAAAUUUAAAAAAUCUUAUUGUCUUUGGGAUUACUAAUUUAUACAUAAAACAUUUUCCUGACAUUAAAAAUAUGUUUUUUACAUAGACAUUAGAACGGUUAGGUUUUAUCCGAUAAGAUAAGGACCUCCUUAUUGAGGAGGACUUUUCUUGAACCAUAAACGGACCAACAACUAGGAAACACAACGAAACCUUGAAUUUUAUCAGACAAAUAAACAAUGCAGCUUACCUUAGGUAGGGCGUAUUUGGGGUGCUAAUACCUUCCCUUUACGCAACCAGUCCCCGUACCCAAUCUCUGAGACCAGUUAGGGUUCCUAGUGACCAAAAUACUAGGUGGCGACUCCCACACCAUUUUUCACUGCUAAGAGACAACGAAUUCCUUGUCUCCCCACAUUGACCAGAUUUACCCCCCCAUUACAUUCAUUGAGGGUGGACGAUCAUCGCGACGUCGCGCACGUGCGACAAGACUCAUCAAAAGUGACAUCUCUACUCAAAAUCACUUUCUUUGAUUCAGAACACCAGAGUCUGUAGCCUUUUACUCCUCCACUAAAGCCCAAAAAUAUAGCUUUCUUGGCUCUAGGAUCUAGCUUGGACUCAGUAACAUGAUAAUAUGCUGAGCAACCAAAUAUACGCAUAGAGUCAUAAUCAUUUGCAAGAGAGCCUGACCAUACCUCCAAGGGGGUUCUUCCAUUUAAUAUUGCUGAAGGUAACCAGUUAACAAUAUGACGAGCAUAGCUUAAUGCCUCGCCCCAGAACACUUUGCUUAGUCCCGAAUGUGAUAGCAUACAUCAAACUUUCUCCACCAAUGUACGGUUCAUGCGUUCUGCUACUCCAUUCUGUUGUGGUGUUUUGCGAACAGUAAAAUGUCGCUUGAUCCCUUCAUUCUGACAAACUUCAAAGAAAGGAUCUGAAGUGUACUCAUCACCAUUAUCUGAUCGAAGAGUCUUAACUCUCCUUCCAGUUUGAGUCAUCACCAUUUUCUUCCAUUUUAGAAAGAUAUCAAAGGAAGGAUCUGAAGUGUUUCAUCAUGUACACUGUCGCACCCUCCCGAGAGCUCGACGUCGCGGCGACACUUCCUCCGUAGCGGGGAUUCGAUGUUGGGGUCUUUCUGUUGUGAAAAAGGGAGUCGCCACCUAGUAUUAUGGUCACUAGGAAACCUAACUGGUCUUUCAGAGAUUCUAAGGCAAGGGACUGGUUGCGUAAAGGGAAGGUUUUAGCACCCCUAGUACGCCCUACCUAAGGUAAGCUGCUUGGUGUUUGAUUUGCCUUAUAAAUGUUAUGGUGUUGAUGUUCUCUAAUCCCAUCAGUUUCCUAGGAUAAGUAUGCUCUGAUGAAUGAAAUCUAGGGUGCUUUAAAAACCUAUUUUUUCGUCUCGUAAACCGUGGAGUAAAAAAAUUGAAAUGUCCUCGAUUAUAAUCAAGGCUUCUUUCAAGGAUUUGUGCGGAUUUAUUAUUCCUAGAAAAUUAUUUUGGAUAUUUACCACUUCGGGUUUCUUUAUCCAAAUAUUAACAGUGAAUAAUAACAAAUUAUUCCCAAUAAUAUUUUGGAUAUUCGUCCUUUAAGGAUUUCUUUAUCCAAACAUUAGCGGUGAAUAAUAGAUGAAUUCCCCCAAAAUAAGAUUUUUAUAUUUUUUGGAAUAUUGGCCAAUACCCUUUGGAGUUUUACAAACAUGUUGUAAAAUCCAGAAAUGCAAGAAAAAUGAUUUUUGUUGUGUUUAAGAAAUCCAUGCGAAAACACAUUUUCAAAGCUUCAAAUAUUUGUUUUUUAUAUAUAAAAAACAUAAAAACAAUGUUAGGGUAUUGACCGUAUGCAGGAAAACAAAACAUUUUUUAUUUUAUAUUUUUUUGAUGUCUCGACGAAAACCGGGUAUUUUCAUACCGGACAUGUAUCUUUACCAUAAAAAAAACAAGCAGAUAUUGAUAAACAAUGCAUCAACAAACUUUCAGAAAAUCACAUGUUUAAAUAAUUCUUUGAAGCAAAUUUUCCGAACAGGCCAGACCCGGCCCACAAAGAGACUGGGCCGAAAUCAGCCCAACAUAAAAUGGACCCACUUUCUACAGCCCAGCCCAAAACAACAUAGAUGGGUUGUUGUCCACUAUACAGUAACCUGGUACUGUUCACCUGCCUAGUAACCCGUUACUGUUCAAGUGAAUUAAAUUUCACUUGAAUAGUGCAAACACAAAGCAAAAAAAUGCACGUAAUCAAAGCUGACGGGUUACUGUUCAAGUGAAUUAAUUCACUUGAACAGUGUAAAUGCAAAGAAAACCAAUGCACGCAAAGGGUGACGAGAACAAACCUGGAGACGAAAAAGUUGUCUGCGUUCGUCUGUUUUAAAUCUUUUCCUCCGGUCCGCGUCUGUUUUUCCUGUUUUUCCUUUCCUCUAUGCCAUCGUCACUCUCUCUCCCGGUUUUCUGCUCUUUCUUCUUCCCUACUCUGCAGAUGUUAUAUGUAAAAAAUUGAAAGCAAAGACCGAAAGAGAUGAUGAGCUGGUGCGGUUGGUGGUGUUGCUGCGGCUGCUCUUCCUCCUCUCUAGUGUUGCUGCUGCUGCCUUUCCUCCUCGUCUGUGCAGAUGCUGGUGCGGUUGGUGGUGUUGCUGCUGCUGCCUUUCCUCCUCGUCUGUGCAGAUGCUGGUGCGGUUGGUGGUGUUGCCGCGGCUGCUCUUCCUUCCGGUGUGGCUGCUGCUGCUGGGAUGGAGGAGAUGAUGAGGUCGUUGGCAGCGCUGGUGCGGCUCCUGGCGUUGCUGCUGCUGCUCUCCUCCUGGUGUUGCUGCUGUUGCUGGUAUGGAGGAGAUGAUGAGGUUGUUGGCAGCGCUGGUGCGGCUCCUGGUGUUGCUGCUGUUGCUCUUCCUCCUGAUGUGGCUGCUGGUUCGGAUGUAGAAGAUGCGGUGCAAACAGGGGUGAAAACCUUUGCUUUACUGCCUUUGAAACCUGAAGAAAGCCUUCCUUCUUUUCCUCUCUCGUUCUCUUUUUUUUUCUAUGCCAACCCUCUCUGCUCUUUACUCUUCUCUUCGCCUCCUCCUCCCUCUGCUGGAAGAAGAAGAAAGCAGUCUGUUAUAUAUGCCAGAACCGGAGACCACCCUCACAUUCUUUCAUCUCCACCGUCUCUGUUUAGGGAAACAGUCCCAGUCCUUAGAUGAUGAUGAGGGCGUUGGCAACGUUUGGCAGAGAAGGCUGUUUCGUGUGCAGGGAAGAAAUGGCCGAGAGAGGGGAAUGGCCAAGGGGGGGAACUGGUUUUGGGUGUUCUAUCUUUCUCGUUCAAAAACUGAACUCUCUCCCUUCCCUCCAAAAGAACCAACUCUCCCCUCUCUCCUCUUUUCAAAAAAACUCUCCCCCCUGCUCUCCUUUGUUUUCUUUUCUCCCGUUCAAAAACCAAAACCUCUCUUCCUUCCCUUUUUUUCUUUUCCUUUUAACUCCCAAAAUCUCUCUGUUAUUUUGUUCUCUCUUCCCCCUGUUUUCUAUUCUUCCGUUCACAACUGAACUCCUCCUCUUUUCUCUCGGUUUUUUUCUUUUUUUUUCUCUUCUUUGUUCUCUCUUCCCCCUGUUUUCUAUUCUUCCGUUCACAACUGAACUCCUCCUCUUUUCUCUCGGUUUUUUUCUUUUUUUUUCUCUUCUUUGUUCUCUCUUUUCUUUCUUCCCUACUGUCUUCUGUUCACAACUGCUCUCCUCCCUCCUCCCUCCAAAAAAAAAACCUGGUAGCUGCUAAUAACAGUAUAUAUAGGUGAAGGGAGCGGGGCCAGCAGCAUGCGCAUGGGGAGCAGGGGACACCAAACCAGGGCAGCCUGCGCUGCUCCCACGCCUGCAGCUGCUCGCACGCCUGCGCUGCUCCUACGCCUGCAGCUGCUCCCCACUCCUGAGGGUCUCGGGCAGCGGCAUGCACAUGGGAGGAACAAUGUCUCAAAAUGACACUGUUUCGGGUUCUGCUCUCUAUAAUUAAUAUUAUGUUUGCAGGUAGCCAAAAACAUGCGGCAGAAAUUUCACUUUCUCAUUAGAUAUUCAAACAUGCAUAUCUUGAGUUUCUGAUAUCGAAAUCCAGCGAUUCAAAAGCUAAAAUUCAUCUAUGUGUGUAGGACUACAACUUUCAUGAAGGAUUCAAGGUGAGAUAUAAUCGUUUUACCGGACAGAAUCGGGCCGCAAAACUGGUCGGUAAAAAUAGUCUCCUGAUCCGAUUCAAAAACUGACGAAUGUCGAGCAUCCCGAUAUGAUUGAGAGUAUCCUAAGAAUGAACCAGAAAAAUCGUGAUGGCAGCAGAAAUUUCAGUGCAAAACUUGAGUCAAAAUCCUGCUCGCGGCAGAAUUCUCUACUUUCACGUCAGAUAUUCAAACAGGAAUAUCUCGAGCUCCUGAUAUCGAAAUCAAGCGAUUCGAAAGCCUAAAUUUACCUAUGCGUCCAGGACUACGACUUUCAUGAAGGAUUCCAGGUGAGCUAUAAUCGUUUUAUAGGAUAUAAACGGGUCGCAAUCUGGUUGGUCAAAAAGGUUCUCCCGAUCUAAAUUCAGGAAACUGACAAUGCCAAGCAUCCUAGUUCGACUGAGAGUCUGCCAUAAGAACAGUGAGCUCUAGGACCCAAUAAAGGUGUAGGUCCAUUUUUCAACAUGUCAUGAGUGACAGAAUAUAGCUGGGAUGGUCAGAUAUUGCACGAAACCAAGUCAAAAACAGGGCCUAAGUUGGAACAAAAAAGAUUGCGGCAGCAGCAGAACCAGGUUUUUUAUUUCCACUUUUGAGGGAUUUAUUCACCCUUAAAGACCCUAUAAAAAGGAAUGAAUUUGGCAUUAUGAAGACUUCUGAUCAGUCUAAGAAAACCUGAUGAUUUUGGCAGCAAAGGGGAAGGAUAAAAAAGAGCAGAAAACAUCUCAAACAGAGUUUUUGAAAAAAUAUUUCUUUCAUUUGCUUUUGUCAAUCUUCCAGCAAACAUGAGGUCCAAAAAUGAGUAACAACAUACACCCAUACUCGUCUUGAGAAAUCAUCAAUGAAAGUAACAAACCAACGAUUACCUCCAAGAGAUUCAUUCUUUGAAGUUCCCCAUACGUCUGUGUGAACAUAAUCUAGGAUCCCUUUUGUGUUGUGUACCGCAGUGCCAAACUUGACCCUUGUCUGUUUUCCAAAAACACAAUGCUCAUAGAACCCAUGCUUCCCAGUCUUGGCGCCUUUUAAUAGACCUUGCUUGACCAAUCCUUGCAAAGCCUGUUCACCAGCAUGCCCUAAGCGCAUGUGCCAAAGUUUGGAAUUAUCUGCUUCAUCAUCAUCUAUGCUUUUGGAAACAGCUGUUGUACCAGUAACUAUAGAUCCAUCCAGGAAAUAUAAGUUUCUUAUCCUCGUGCCUCUUAAGACAACUAAUGCACCACAGAUUGCUCUGAGGACUCCACCAUGCAUGAUAAUCUUAUAACCACUGGAUUCUAGGACUCCAAGUAAGAAGAGAUUUUUCUUCAAGUCAGGAACAUACCGUACCUCUGUUAGUGUCUUGACUACCCCAUUAUGCAUCUUCAGAUGGAUAGUCCCAAUCCCUUUGAUCUCACUAACAUCAUCAUUACCCAUCAACACAACUCCUCCAUCGAACUCCUCGAGUCUCGAGAAUAAGUGCUUGUUAGGGCACAUGUGAUAGGAACAUGCAGAAUCAAGAAUCCAUUCACCAGAAUGGUUUUCUGGUGAUGAGACCAUGAAUGCAGAGUCUCGUUCAUCCUCAUCUCGUGCAACAUUCACAGCUGGUUCAUCUUUUUCCUUGUUGCCCUUGAUUGGACAAUCUUUCUUCCAAUGCCCUUUUUGUGACAAAAGGCACACUCAUCUUUUGCAAGAUAUUGUCUGUUUGAUGAUUCUCCUUUGGAUUUUGAGCGAGAUCUCCCUCGCCCUCGAAAUCUUCUGGUGUUUGUUCUGCCUCUAACUGUCAAUGCUUCUGACAUUGACUCCUUGUGAACAAUCUGGUCCUUCUUCCGGUACUCAUUGUUCACUAAAGCAUUUGACACAUCAAUGAAUUUAAUCUUUUCUUUACCAUACAGUAAAGUGGUGACGAGAUGUUCAAUGUGUCAGGCAGUGAAUUCAAUAACAACAGAGCUUUAUCUUCAUCAUCGAUUUCCACAUCUAAAUUCUUCAAAUCAGCUAUUAUUUUAUUGAAAUCAUUUAGAUGCUCAUUCAUGGAAGUACCUUUCUUGUGCUGAAAAUGGAAGAUCCUUUUCUUCAAGUAGAGACGAUUCUCUAUACUCUUCUUCAUAAACUUGUCCUCCAGUGCUUGCCAUAAUUCCUUUGCAGAGUUUUGUUCUGAAAAGGCGUACUUCUGAUCCUUUACAAGACAAAGUCGGAUGGAACUGCAAGCCAACCGAUUUAUCCUUUCCCAACUUUUAUCAUCCAAAUCCUCCGGUUUAUCUUCUAGAGUGAAAUCCAAAUUCAUUUGGACAAGCAUAUCCAUGACUUCACAUUUCCACAUGCCAAAAUUACAUUUCCCAUCAAACUUCUCCACCUCAAAUUUGGUACUCGAUACCGGGAUGUAUUGUGGAGGUAUACUAGCAUUUCCCGCUGAUCUUUCUUCUGGAAUAUCAGCCAUUAGGACGUCUUUAGAUUACAAAUGGACUCCCGAAAUUGUUAAAACACACAUUUUUAUGCUCAAAAGUGCCAAAACAGUAACUUCAGUGUGCUGUUUCACAAAACGGACACCACGGUUGCGUCCGGAAUGGUUGAAAAUGCUAGGAACCAACUUGACUCGACCUAAAACAGGUCAAAAAAUCACUGAGUUGGCCAAAAAACCAAUCUGACCGAAUUAACUCAGGGAAGGAAUAUUCUGUCUCCGAUAAAAAAUAUUCUGUCACGGGAAUAUUCUCUUACUGUUAACGGAAUAUUCUUAUUCUGUCAAGAGAAUAUUCUGUCACUAUCAGAUGACGUGGCUGAUGACAGGCGAUGUGGACCCUCUGUUGAUGACGUGUAUGAUGACUCAACGCCUACGUGUCAGAUGACGUGGAUGUCUUCUCAGGCGAGAAUUCCGGCACUGUCUAGUUUUUCCGGUAGAUUUCAGGUAAAACUUUGGCGAGCUCUACAGGGCUCGUUUCAACUCCGAUUUUGAUGAUCUUUAUAUUGCCGGACUCGUAUCGAUGAGAGGAAUCUCCGCAGAUGGUCAAAAUCAAGAUCUGAGAACUUUGAAAAUUCUGCAACUUUAAACAGAGAGCUGAAAAAACGUGUUUUUCUGUGUUUAAGCUUCCCUAAUGCUCUGAUACCAAUUUGUUGUGCAUACUGGACCGAAAACAAACACAAAUAAAAACACAAACAAGCAAAUUUACGUGGUUCCUCAAAACCGGGUACGUCCACGGAGACAGCAGAUUGUAUAUUAUUGAAGGAAUGAUAUAAACACUCAACACAACCCAAUACAACCCCACAAAACCCAGUGUUUCACUCUUACGCUCGGUGUUUUUCUCAAAUCUGUACUUGCACUCACUCUCACAGUUGCACUGUCUUCCUCUCUCUGCACACACUUGCACUGUCUCUGUACUACUCUCUGCACUCUCUCGUCUCUGUCUCUAUUUAUACAAGAAAGAAGAGUCUUGGCAGCAACCCAUGUACAGCCUAAUAAAUGCCAACCAACUACUACAAGAAGAAAGUCAUGGUUGUUGGAAAAAAGGUUGACAAAUUUGCUACAGUUACUUCCGGUUGCGCAAACACUAAAAGCUUUAUAAUCUUUAAAGCCUCUUCGUCUUGGCCAUUUUCAAGUUUUUGUAGUAAAAGUGAUUUAAGAGACUCGAUCGCUUCAACAUUAGAUUCAAGAAAUGCUUGUAAUGGCGUUGAUGGGUCACUUUGGUUCUGGUCUUGAUGUUUCUCUAUAUCUACCUCUUCUUCUUCUUCUUCGAGGGCCGGGUUUUCUUCAGUGAGAGCGCGGGGGUUAACUUAUUUUACUAUUUUUAAAUUUUUGCAAGUACGUUUAGAACGAGGCUGCAAUUAACGUAUUUUUAAAUGGUCAUUGAUGAGAUUGUGACAUGUACGAAAACAACGAUGAACCCAAAAUCAAAUGGAAAAUAAAAAUAAAAAUCGGUAAAUCUUCUAUUAUUUGCGUGUUAGUUUUUUGUUGGAGAUUAUCUCUUAAGCAACCAUACAACUGAAUGAUGUAUUCAUAAAAAAUCAUUUUCCUAUCUUAAUCUCUGUGCUUUUUAUGAAAUAAUUAGUUUAUUUUAUUUUAAUUUUUUACUUAAUCUUACUCUUACUUUUCCUUGAUAAUUUAAUUGUUUUUUUUUUAUUUCUUCUAAAAUAUCCUUCAUUUCUAGUCAAUUUUUCAAUCUCACCUCCUAAAAAAUAAAAAAUACUUAAAAAUGGAAGUUCAGAUAUUUUACAAAAAGUUAACAGUCAACUCAUAUCAAGCACCUACAAUUUUACAAUGGCGGAGAUGAGUAUAUCAUAGGAUCAUAAAAGGAUAUUUUUUACCAUAGUUUCAUGUUCCUAGCCUCUUUGUACCACAUUCGGAACAGAACUUGGAGGUUUCUCUUAGAUAUGGAGCUCCACAUUCAUCACAAUACUUCGGUGGACUCGUCGGCUGCAGUUUGGGAAAGGUUAGUAAACACACUACUGUCAUGUUCUACGUAAAACUUAAACGCACUUUUCAACUAUUUUUAUGGCAUAAUGCACAAAGAAAAAGAGAUGGAAAUAUUAAAAAAAAAUAAAAAUGAUUUAAUAUCUUAUCCCCACUAAAUAAUAACAGCAAGUGCCUCAAGAACAAUUUUCAUCAGAGGUACCAGUUAGCUUUGUCUGGGUUCCAAGCAAGCUCCAACUAUCCGCUCCUGAUAUGCUGGCAUUGCUCAACAGUCUAAUCGGAUAGAGGCAUGCCAAUCUCCAGCGCUAUUUUCACAUCCUAUUUCGAUUUCCCUUUUUAAAGUCAUGGAGUUUUUUUAUUGAAAUUCAAGAAGAAAAUAGAGGUCUUCUUCUUCUUCUUCUUCUUCUUAAUCUUAACACUUUUAAAAAAUGAGGAGAAUUCUUGUAUAUUUAUCUGCUUUUAAGAGAAAUUACCUUUCUUUGCUUUUCUAUAGAAAUUCGUUAGUCCUUCAUUUUCUCUUAUUCCAACAACCUUAAAUUUGUCCGCUAGUGUAAUUUCUAUGCUCUCAUGUUGCUCCAUUAGAGCAGACAUUUGAGAGUGGUGGGUAGAAGAAAUCGUGUUAGAGAGUGUGGUGUUGAUAGAGCUUGUGAAAUUUUAAUGGGCAGCUCUAGUUUCGAAUUGUAUUCAUAAUAAUCAUAAUAUGGAGAAAGCCCUCGAAAACUUAGGUUAGAGCUGAUUACUGACUUGGUCCUUGAGGUGCUCGAUAGGCUUAAUUUCGAGGAAAAGAUUGCGUUCAGGUUCUUUAUGUGGCCAGGGCAUCAAGAGAAUUAUUCCCAAGAGCCUUAUGCUUGUAAUGAAAUGUUGAUAUUUUGACUAGUACGAAAUAUAAGAAGCAGCAGUUUCGAAUAGUCUGUGGCAUGUUUGAUUACUUGAAGAGGAAUAACAAGAAUGUGGUUCCUGCUGAGUUUUUGUAACCAUUAUGAGGAGUUAUACCGAGAAGUAUCUGACCGAGUCCAGAAUUAAUUCGCCAAGAAGAAGAGGAUAAGGGUCAAGUGCAGCCCGUAAUGAAUGCCUUUAACUUGUUGGAUGCUUCAUGCAAUUGUAUUUUGGUCGAGGAUGCCGAUGCAUUGUUUAAGACGGUGAAGGACAAGGUUAAGCCUGAUGCUAAUACUAAUUACAAUUAAUGUAUUGUUUUUUCGCUGGUGUGGAGUUAGGAAUCCGACUAGAGGAAUGAAGGUUUGGAGCAAAUGAUCCAGCUUGGCCAUACCCCUGGUAGUUUUACAUACACAACUUCCAUUGAUGCACUUUGCAGGCUUUAUGAGAGAAUGAUUGAAGUGGGUUGCUUUCGUAGUGUCCAGACUUGUAAUAUGCUGAUCUCAAUGUUUUUGAAAUGGGUGAUGUUGAUGGGGCAUUUGAGGCUUGGCAUGAGAUGGAUAAGAGAGGUUGUGCACAGGAUGUUGUUGAUACUUGUAUUCUGAUGCUCGAUCGAUGGGCUUUUCAGUUACAAUAAAGUAGAGGAUGCAUGUUUUCCGGUAGAAGAUAUCGUGAAAUUUCCAUAUCAGAAAUUUGACUCUUUUCUGAUGCAGCUUUCAGUGAUUGAUAAUAGCUGAGCCAUCCACAGGCUCUAAGAGCACACGAGGACAUUCUAUAACCAUCCCAUGGCAAGACGCUUUGCACUAAAUGAAAAAAGAACCAGCUUGAGCAUCAGAGGGAAGUAAGGCAAUAUUUUAAAUUACCUAGAAAAGUAAUGAAACAUGCUUAAUGUUCUUAUUGAUUGUUGCAAUAAUUUAAGUUGCACAUGAGAUUCCUCGUACGAGUAAAUUAGUUUUGAGGAAAGGUUUAUCAUCCUGGGCUGCGAACAAACUCCUUCAGCGCUAAGUAUUCUACCGACAAAGAUUGCAGUUAACGAGAAAAGAUAGUGCGGCCUUUAACCAAAAAAAAAAAAAAAACACUAGUGAUCAUUAUUAACUUAAAUUAAGGAAAAAAUAAUAGUACAAGUAAGUAAUCAUGCUAUUCCAAAGUGUUACAUUUUCUAAUAUUACAAAGGAUUUCGAGAUUCAUUGGCAUGCCCAUGUUAUGUCAUUGGACGACAGUGUUUCGUCAUUCUAUGACAACAUCCAUGAAAACAUUAUAAAGUUUUAUAUAUCGUAUAUGGGAGGCCCUAAUAUCUCUGAUUUUAUAUCCACUGUAUUUCAUUGGCAUGCUCCAUAAUUAUUACAAGAUCAUAUAUGCAUUCCAUUCCACCAGAUGCAAUAAAUCACGAAUCGAUCCAUCAUUAUUGUUUUGCGUGGUAGCUCCAGUCGAUAUCCAAAAAUCGCUAAUCCAGUAAUAAGAAAGCAAAUAACAGAGAUCGAGCCCCUGCAGCAAACCCAGCUAGAGCAUUCGGGAAUGGCAAACCCAGCACAUUAUUUGGUCGAGUGCAUGCGGAUGUUUUCUCAGGAAUGUGAGUGGAGUUUCCUGCCAUCUUCUUGAAGAGAUUUCUUUGCUUACCAAUCCGACAAGACCUCGACCAAAAAAAUCCUAGUCGGAGUCCAUUUCAACAAAUGUAAUAACCAGGAAUGCCAGAAUAUACUUGAGAUUUUAAUAUUUCAUUUAAAAAAAUUGAAAAGAUAUUAUAUUUUUAUUUUAAAUUAAAUUAUUUAAACAAAAAAUAUUAUAUAUAUAUAUAUAUAGUCGUUUAAAUAAAAUAUUAUUUAAGUGUUUACUGUAAUAUAAACUAAUAACCACCACCACCAACAAAAAGAAUAGAACCACGCGUAUAAGAUGCCAAAACAAAAGGAAUAUAAACUAAUAACCACCAAAAAGAGAAUCGAAUCACGCGUAUAAGAUGCCAAUCAAAAUUCUACGUGCUGAAACCGCUACGUGCUGUGAAAAUUCUUUUAGACACUCACGCCCUUAGCCCAUCAAAAUUUUACACGCGGUUCGCUUGUAUUCAUAAAUUUAUUUUUAGUUUGUUAAGAAAUAAAAUGUAAAUAAAAAAACAAAUUCGUACGGGAUCGCCCGAGUUUCUACUUUCUCGAGGCAAAUUACAGAAUGCAGACCUAGAUUUUUACCUCUCGAGACCCGGCUCGUAUCCCGGGUCAACCAGCCUGAUAGACAUGUGUAUGGCAAGUGUCAUCCGCAUAUUUGUUCUUUUACUGGCCUUAUAUUUUUGCCUUUUGUCAAUGACGAGCUCGUCACUGUCAUGAUGACAAUAUUCGAUUCAUUCGUCCGUUUCACACAUCCGUGUCAUUUUUCGUUUCACAGCAAAAACCUUUUUCCGAACAAACCUUGAAGAAUCCUUCCAAUACUUUGGACGAGCUGAUAUCGGUUAAUAUAUACUCUAAACUCUUAUCAAUACUGAUUAAAUUUAAGACUGCAUCUUGAAAGUGUGAUUUUGCAUUUUUAAUCUCGGAGUUGAUAUCUGGCUUUAUAUCCAAUAAUAAAAUAAUUUAAUAUUAAUAUAUUUAAGUUCAUUUAAGAAAACCGUUUGAUUGUGAAAUAAAAACCUUCGCCACCCAAUUAACUACCUAAAUUAUAUAUAUAUAUAAAAAAAAUCCUUGUAGAUGUUCAAGAGUUUUUUUUUUUCAAAUAAAAAAGUUAUCCAGUCAUAAUUAUUUUAUUCAUUUUUUAAUUUCUUAUAUUAAAAAAUUGCUUAUUUAUUUUGAAAUAAAAAAACUACAUAUAUCUUUUAAUAUUUUAUAUAUUUUGAAUUGUUCAUAAUAAUUUAAUUUAAUUUUUUUAUAAAGUUAUUACAACUUUAAAAAAACAUCAUAACAUUGAUUUGAUUUGUUACACCGAAAAAAAUUUAAUCCAACAUGACACGGAAAGUAGCAUGACUUAAAUUAAAAAAAAAAAUACACAUAGAUGUUGAAGAAUUUUUUUUUAAAAAAAGUUAUACAACUUACUUCAGAGGAGUUACAUUAUUGAUAAAAGAAAACAAAUUCUCAGAAACUAACCAUGAUUCGGGAGAAAAUUUAUAAUGCUCUGACUAAUGAAGUUCAAUGGUUGGAAUUUCAAAAAAGAAAAGUUAUACGGUAUACGGUAUCUCUGUCUUGUAUUCUUUCGGUGAUGUCAAUUCCAUUUCCAUGUGGAAAAGGAGCGCAAGAAAAAAAAAAAAAAAAAAAAAAAGAGGAGCUUUUUUAAGUCAAGAAAGGAACCAGAAUACGAGAAGACUUGUUUCCUGUGACUGCCUUUUUCUUUCUCAAUAAUAAAGAAGCAACACUCCCUCUUACCUAUAAUAAAGGCAACACAGAGAUGGAUAAUGCUUGUCUAUUUCUUUCUUUCUUUUUCUCUUUGAAUCCAUAGCCAGGGAGCCUCCGUACUGCAUUGUAUAGUCAAGGUUAUUCUUUUCUUUCCUUCGGUGUUUAUACCUGUUUCUUUGUGGCGAAGGAACUCCCCCCCACCUUUUUUCCUUCCUUUAUAAGUUUGAAAGUAGGAAGCUCUUUUCAUCAUCGCAGAUAAACGAGAAAUUGAUGAUGGAAAGAUCAGAGAGUUCAAGCAAGAUGAUGAAGAAGAAAGAAAUUCCUAAUGAUCGUGGCUUCGUUGACACCAUUUUUUCAUGGUCUCUUGAGGAUAUUUUCAAUGAAAAUCUUUUCAAGGUUUUUACCUUUUCUACCUUCCAUUUUCAUCAUUCUCUCUUUAGUUAUUUAUUUUGUAAAAUUACAUUGCUGGUAUGCGUUUAUUAUUUGCAGCUUUUGGAUUAUUUUACUGAGCAGUGAAUUGACAUUUCCUUUAUUAAACAACUUCUUGAUUUAAGAAAAGUAUUUGGUUUUUACAUCGAUAGUGGGUUAGACCCUUACAAGUCCAUUCCAUUUUGAAUUGCACAUUGCUUGCCCUGAACGUAAGCUGAGGCAGAGCAGCUCCAACUUACCAUAAAAAUGAAGAGUUUUGGAAAUUCUUUUAAAAAUGGAGUUUGUUCUUGCAUGCAUGCUUGGUGUCAAAACAUUUUUUAGGAGUUGACAAUUCGUAGCUGUUUAGAUAAAUGUGUUAGUCUUAAUGCUACUACAUGAUAGAUUAAUUGUGCCAAAACUCUUGACAUGGAUACUCACUUGUGUAUUUGUUGAGCAUGUGAUGUGAUGCAAUGGCGCAACCUGUUAAAUAAAUGUGUAAUUUGAUUAUACAAUUAAAUAUUGUUCAGUGUUGUUUAUAUUUUUGUGAAAGCUCCUCAACUUUGAAACUAGCCGCUGUGUUCCCUGGAAAUAAUUUUGUUGCAGUUGAGCUGUCCUCGCAUCGUGUAAAGAGAUUAGAUUAUUGUAGCAGCCGAAUAUUUAAAGAUAGCAUGUUUUGAGGUGCCUUCAUGUCCUUUGAAUGACCUCGUGUUUUGCUUUCCUUUAUAGGUGGAAAAUAUUCCAGAGUCAUAUUACUCGGUUGAGCAUUAUCUUGGAUCAUAUGUAAUUCCUUUGUUGGAAGAAACCCGUGCACAAUUGAGCUCAAGCAUGGAUAUUAUAUCCAGAGCACCGUUUGCUGAAAUGGUUGCUUUCUUUGAGGCCAAGCCCCACGGCACAUUAUUGUAUGAUGUUAAUAUUGAUUAUUGGAGAAACAGAUGCCGUGGCAGUGGCAAGGAGCAUUACAAAACAUUGCCCGGCGACAUCGUUAUUUUAACAAGCGCUAAACCUGAAAAUGUCUCUGAUUUGCAAAGGGUUGGAUGGACAUGGACAUUUGCUGUGGUCACCAGUAUAACAGGAGAUGAGACCGAGGAUGCUGCUACAUAUACUUCUUUCACAGUCAAGGCGCAAAAAGACAUUGAAAUUAGUGAUGGACUGCAGAAAUCACUUACUGUGAUUUCAUUGACUAAUAUAACAACUAGCAAAAGAAUAUGGAAUGCACUCCACAUGUUCGGAAACUUGAAUAUCAUCAAAGAGAUUCUGUGCACUGAUUCUGUGGUAAGAGAUAUAUGAAUGUGAUUGCUGUCUCUAGUAUCAUGUAGAUUUUGCAUUGCCUUAGGUCACAUAUAGAUGCUUUAUUUUCACACGUGGAAACAUGGAGAUAGCCAGUUUGGCUUAAAAUAUGCUAUUAAUUUCCAAAUCGUUCUUGAGGGAUGGAUUGGUGGUAUUCAAAACCAAAUUUGGAAUAAAGCCGGAGAAAAUUGACGGACUGAGUGGUGGAUCUGCUCGCUUUUCUACUCGUAUCAUCAUUUGAGCUUCUUGCUUGGAAUGUAAAAUAAAUGUAAAAAAAAUUAUUUUAAUCUACUUAUACCCUCACGCUCUCGCUUUCUCUCUCUAUAAUUUUUUCUUUGUAGUGUUUUUCUCUAUUUCAUCUUUCUGUAAAAUAGAUGGGCACCCUGAUGAUUCUUAUAGCGGUGAAGAAUAAUCAUGAUCAUGUUUUUCAUCCUAUUUUUUUCUGUUAUAUAUAUUUAGUUGCAGACAUAACUUCCAGGAGACGAAUCUGUGUCUGUUUUGCAUGUAAUAUACUGUUUUGAACUUGAUUGAGUUUCCAUGUUGGAUAACAGGUUGAGGAAAAUUGCAACCAAUAUUCUAUGCGGGAACGUGCAAUCUAUGAUGAGAAUGUUGUGAAUUUGUCAUCUAAACUGAAUGAAUCCCAAAGCAAGGCGGUUUUGGCAUGUCUGCUUAAAAAGCAAAGCAACCAUAAGUCGGCAGUUGAACUUAUUUGGGGCCCGCCAGGGACUGGGAAAACCAAAACAGUCAGUAUGUUGCUCUUUAGCCUCCUAAAAAUGAAAUGCAGAACUCUAACAUGUGGCCCAACCAAUGUUUCAAUUACAGAAGUGGCCUCUAGGGUGUUCAAGCUGGUCACAGAAUCGCAUGAAGCAGAUUCAGGAACUGAUUCUUUGUUUCAUUCUGUGGGAGAUAUUCUUUUGUUUGGGAAUAAGGACAGACUCAAAGUUGAUUCUGAAACUCAGGAAGUCUAUUUGGAUUAUCGUGUCAAAAGGCUUAUAGAGUGCUUUGCACCUCUGACUGGUUGGAGGAAUUGUUUCAAUUCGACAAUUGAUUUUUUUGAAGAUUGUGUUUCUCAGUAUGCCAUUUUCGUGGAGAAUGAAUUAAUCAAAAUGCAGGAGCAUGAUGAUGAAAAUGAAGAGAAAAGGGAAUCCUGUAGCUAUCAAGCUGUUGCCCUCAAAGGAGAGCUUAAAACGUUUCUCGAAUUUAUGAGAGAUAGAUUCCGCUCUACUGCAUUACCUCUAAAAAGAUGCCUCACUUUAUUAUGCACUCACAUACCAGAAACUUGCAUUCUCAAACAUAACAUUCAGAACAUCGUAUCCUUGUUUGGGUUACUUAACUCUUUUGAAUCUUGGCUAUUCCAUGCGGCUGUGAUUUCUGAUGAAUUGCAUGAAGUUUUUUCACACCCAGGGCUAGAUGAGGAUUCUUUCCAAGGUUUUAAUGAUAUAUUGCUGCGGUUGAGACUAAAGAGAAGUGAAUGCCUUACUAUGUUGAAAAGAGUACGGGAUUCUCUCCGCCAUCUGGAUCUUCCAAGUGCUAUGAACAAGCGGUCAAUAGAGGAAUUCUGUUUCCAGAAAGCAACCUUAUUUUUGUGCACAGCUUCUAGUUCGUAUAAGUUGCAUUUGUUGCCUAUUGAACCACUGGACUUUUUGGUAGUUGACGAAGCAGCUCAGCUAAAAGAGUGUGAAUCAACAAUACCCCUACAACUUCCUGGUAUUAGGCAUGCUAUUCUAAUCGGUGAUGAGUGUCAAUUACCAGCUAUGGUCGUAAGCAAUGUAUGAAAAAGCUACCUCAUUGUUUUCUUAUUGUCUUUUUGGUUGAACUGAAUUUUAGAUUUGUUACUGUCUACACUAUUGGCUUCUUAUAGCUUAUGGUUCUUAGGUUUGUGAUAAAGCUGGCUUUGGAAGGAGUUUAUUUGAAAGGCUCAGCUCAUUGGGUCAUUCAAAACAUCUUUUAGAUAUGCAGUACAGAAUGCAUCCAUCCAUCAGUUGCUUCCCUAAUUCAAAAUUCUACUUCAAUCAGAUCUUAGAUGCACCAAAUGUCAAGGCUAGAAGUUAUGAAAAGCAUUAUCUUCCAGGGCCAAUGUUUGGUCCCUAUACAUUCAUAAAUGUAUUUGGUGGAAGAGAAGAGCUAGAUGAUGUUGGGCAUAGCAGGAAAAAUAUGGUUGAGGUAGCCCUUGUGCUGAAAUUACUGCGAAGUCUGUGCAAAGGUAUAUUAUGCAAGAUCUUGAAGUUUUUGUUACCAUCGUGUUUAGGACUUUUUAUAUAUGAUUACAGCCGAAGGCUUGGAAUUUUUUCUGUGCAAACUGAUGCUUACAAUUGUUUUGCUUUGGCAUAUGAGGAAAUUAAAUGAUCUUAAACUACCAAACUUUCUCUGAUGGUGUUUUCAUCUUGCAUUAAAAACACUUGUAUGACUGUUUAGCUCCUUUAAAGUCAAUGCUUAUUGACAUCUUGUUUUCAAAGAGACUAAUAAUAGAGAAGUGAGCCAAUGCAAAUGACCUUUCACUAUGAAUUUGAUACUUUUCUGUGAUAAACUUUUGGCUUAACAUCAUUUCAUCGAAACAAUUCCUGACACAAGAUUUUGCUAUCACUUAUUAUUAUUAUUUGACAUCCUUUGAUGUUUCUGCAUGCAGCAUGGAGUGGACAAAAGGUUAGAGUUGGUGUAAUAUCUCCAUACACUGCUCAAGUUGGUGCGAUUCAAGAGAAGCUUGGUAAGAAGUAUGAAAACAUUGAUGGUUUUUCAGUGAAGGUGAGUUCAGUCGAUGGAUUUCAAGGUGGUGAAGAGGACAUCGUAAUAAUAUCAACCGUGAGAUCCAAUACAGGUGGAGCUAUUGGGUUCAUGUCUGAUCCUCGGAGAAUUAAUGUUGCUCUUACAAGGGCUAGGUAGUGCUUCAAAUGAGCUCAUUCCUGGUGUCGUUUAAUUGUUCUAACAACAGUUCUUACCUUGUUCUAAUGCCAUUUCAGGCAUUGUCUUUGGAUUUUGGGGAAUGAAAGAACCCUAUCAAAUAGUGAAUCUAUUUGGGAAAAGUUAGUCCAUGAUGCUAAGGAACGCAAUUGUUUCUUUCAUGCUGAUGAAGACAAGGAUUUGGCCAAAGCCAUUUUAGAAGUCAAGAAAGAGUUUGAUCAGCUUGAUGAUUUGAUUAAAGGAGACAGUGCACUAUUCAGAAGUGCUAGAUGGAAGGUAUUUAUCUCAUAGUUACGUUUCUGUCAUCCAUCAUAUUUGUAUUAUGGAAGUCCUUAUGGCAGAUGUUUUGUGUUAAGCAUCAUAGUUAUUUUCUUUUGAUAUUUGUGCGGUCCAGGUUCUUUUCAGUGAAUACUUCAAAAAAUCAUUUGGCAAACUAGCAUCAGUCAGAAAGAAGACACCUGUUCUGAACCUUCUACUGAAACUUUCCAGUGGCUGGCGUCCUAAGAAAAGGAGUGUGGACUUCAUUUGCGGAAGCUCUUCUCAAAUCUUGAAACAGUUCAAGGUUGAAGGACUGUAUGUAAUCUGUUCAAUUGACAUAGUGAAGGAAAUAUGCUACACACAAGUUUUGAAGGUUUGGGAUUUAUUACCAUUAGAAGAUAUUCCUAUACUGGCUAAACGUCUAGAGGGCAUCUUUGAGACAUAUACUGAUGAUUUUAUCAGUCAUUGCAAUGAAAAAUGUCUAGAGGGGUAUGUCUUUGCUAUAUUUAUUCUAUCUCUUGUUGUGCACUUGUGUUCCUAAAUAAUUACAUAGAAAUUUGCUUCAAUUUGGCUGAAACGGUUAGAUUUCGUUUUCUUUUGUUGAGUUUUUCUUAUUGUUUGUUUUUGUUCAGAGAUCUGGAAGUUCCAAAAACUUGGAGAACCUCUUUUGAUAUUCCCAGAUAUAAGAGUUGCAGCAACAAUGAAAUAAGAAGCAAUUCAAAUUCUGGUGGUCCUGAUGGUCCCUACUAUGUAGAGAACUCAAAAGUGAGUGAUAGUUUGUUGCUGAUGAAGUUCUACUCAUUAUCUUCUGGGGUCGUGAGCCACUUGCUUUCUGACCGUGAUGGAAGAGAAUUGGAGCUCCCAUUUGAAGUGACUGAUGACGAACUCGAGAUAAUCAUAUUCCAAAGAAGUACAUUUAUACUAGGACGAUCAGGGACUGGUAAAACGACUGUUUUGACAAUGAAGCUGUUUAAGAAAGAGGAACUAUAUUAUACGGCAACACAGGGAUACUUAAAUACUUCAAAGGACAGCAGCAGGAGAAACAAUGUUGCUGAUGACAUUAAAUCUGUCGGGGAUGGUGUUGGAGAUGCCAAAGAAACUGUCUUGCGUCAACUUUUUGUGACAGUCAGUCCAAAACUCUGUUAUGCCAUCAAGCAUCAUGUGAUACAAUUGAAAAGGUUUGUAUUGUUUUAGAAAAUACACUCUACGCUGGAGCUGAUACCUCCAGGUUAAAUUUUUUUCUUUCACAGUGUGCUUUUCAUGAUGCAACUUGUUAUUAAGGAAAUUUUAUUCUCGAAAACAAGCAUUUGUUCAUAUGCAUUGCUGGAUUGAACUUUUAGAAAUUUAUAGCAGGCCCUUAAAAUUAGCUUAGCUUAUUAUAUACUUCAUAAACAUUCCUUUUUAAUCAGAUCACCCCAUUCCAUUAUUGUUAAACUUCGGAAAAUUCUUCCUAAAAUUACCCUGCUUUAUGUAUUUGUUUUCUUAUAUUAGCGUUGUUGUGUGUGUACAGCUUUGCCUCUGGUGGAAAAUACUCAGCAGAAGGGAGUUCAGUUGAUAUGGAAGAUAUUGAUGAUGCAGCACAAUUCAAAGAAAUUCCAAACUCUUUCUUAGAUAUUCCUCCAAAGUCAUACCCACUUGUUAUCACUUUCUUUAAAUUUUUAAUGAUGCUUGAUGGAACAGUGGGUAAUUCGUACUUUGAAAGAUUUUCUGACAUGAGGCAGCUUUUGCAUGAAAAAGUGGGGAAUUCAGGAUCAAUCUCAGCACAAACUCUUAUAAGAACGAAGGAGGUUAACUUCGAGAAGUUUUGUGCAGUUUAUUGGCCACGUUUCAAUGAAAAAUUCAAAAAAAAGCUUGAUUCAUCCAGAGUAUUUACUGAGAUAAUAUCCCAUAUAAAAGGUGGCCUGCGAGCUGGAGAGUCUUGUGAUGGCAGACUGAGCCGAGAAGAUUAUGUUUUUCUGUCAGAAGGUCGUAUAUCCACUUUAAAUAGGCAGAAGAGAGAUUUAAUAUAUGAUAUUUUUGAAGACUAUGAAAAGAUGAAGACAGAAAAUGGUGACUUUGAUAUGGCUGAUUUUGUAAGUGAUCUUCAUCUUCGUCUUAAAACUUACAAGUAUGAGGGUGAUGCGAUGGAUUUUGUCUAUAUUGAUGAAGUCCAAGAUCUUACAAUGAGGCAGAUUGCUCUCUUCAAAUAUAUCUGUAGGAAUGUAGAUGAGGGAUGUAAUGUUUUGUAUUAAAAGAUAGGAAAUGGCAACAAGGCCCUUGAAUGCUUAGAUGUAGGAAUAAAUUAAAUGAGGGGUAGUGUGGUAAUUGAACAAUAGUUGAUAUAUAUAAAUAGAGAGAAGGAAAAAAAAAACAAAAGAGAGAUCUGAAAAAUUUGGGAGAGAAUCGGCAGGAGAGAAGGGAGAAAGAAGAAGAAGAGAAAAGAGGGGGAAAUAAGGGAAACAGGAAAGGAGUUGAAGAGAAUAAGUUUAAAGGUAAGAUUUAGGUUGUUAAAUGUAUAAAUGUAUGUUAAUUGAGCUUAAUUUCAGUUUUGAUUAAUGUUAGGGUUUUGAAAAUUUGUGUUUUGGGUUUAAUUGAUGAAUUAAAUUGAAUGUUAUAAGGUUGAUUGUUAUGGGUAAUUGAUUAAUGAGUUGAUUAUGGAAGAUCGUGAUGAUUUUGAGUUAUGAAUUGUGUAAAUGGUGAAUGUUGAGUUAGAAAUUUGGCAAGAACAGUAGGUAAUCUGUGAGAAUUCUGGGUUUGAGGUUGAAGAUGACGAAAAUUCAAUUUGGUCCCUCAAUUUUGGAAAAUUACAGUUUAGUCCCCAAACUUUGGAAAAUUUGCAGAUUGGUCCCUGGAGCAUAUUCCGAGAUUCUGAACAGAAUAACAUAUGAAUUAUGGACAGAAUUACUGUAUAGAUAAGAGAAUUUAACACUUUCAAUUUAGUCCUUCAAUUUGACAAAAAUUACAAUUUGACCCUAAAAAUUUGGUAAAAUUCCAAAAUGGUCCUUGGAGUAUAAUGAGAUGAUCUGGACAGAAAUGAGGACUAAUUAUGGUCAGAAUUUCAGUAUAUUCAUGGAUUUAUGAUAAAUUUCAGUUUGGUCCUCCAAUUAGACAAAAAUUGCAAUUUGACCCUUAAAAAUAGGAUAAAUUACAGAUUAGUCCCUAGCUGUAAUACUAGCUUUUGCAGAUUGGUUUGAUGAAUAAUUAAGGGUUAUUUAGUGAACUAUUUCCAAUUUUAUUAGUUGUUUUAUUAUGAUUAGAUUUCGGGAAAACCGUUAAAUUUUGGGUUUUUGAGAAAAUUGACUAGUUAGUUCAAAAACAUAUAGGGUUACGGAAUACAUCAUUAGUUAAGUUUAUUAAAUAGGUUAAAUGUUCUUUUGAGUCGUUCUUGAAUAUGUCUUCUUUGUAUUCAGAUAAUCCUGAUAUUCUACCGGCAGGACGUCAGUAGGAUUUUCUUCAGUAUUUGCUCUUGGCUUCUGUUUGCUUUUGAGUCAGGUGAGAGGAUAAUUUUCCAUAUGCAUGAGAAAUAGUAUAAAUAUUUGAUUUGUUAAUAUGAAUUGAAUCAUGCUUCUUGAUAAUAUAUAUGUUGAUUAUUAUCCUUGUUUUGAUAAAGCAUGAUCAAUUGUUGAAUCUGAAUUCUUGAUAUGAACCAGUAUAUAUUUUGAAUUGAAUUCUGAAUUGAUAGCUCCUCAUUUGAUUGAUGUCAUGAGUUGAGCCUUGAGAUAUGAAUACGUCUGUUUGAUUAUGAUUAUGAACCUAUGGUAUGUCAGUCAGAAUACCCAUACUAACAGGGUAGUGUUAGUCUUUGUGCACAUCGUAUCUGAACCCUAGUUGGUCGGGGGAGUCACUAACCUGUGUGGACUGAUCAUCCCACAGUACGGAGCCUCAUGCUCAUUGCAUUUUGAUUUUCUGACGAGUUUUACCAUAUGAUAUUCUUGUUAUGGCCUAUUUAAGAAACCUUUCUAUAAGAACCUAGAGCCAUACUUGUAUAUAUAUUUCUCAUUGCUGUAUUACCUCGUGUGUGUAUAUUGAACGUUAUCUACUCACUGAGUUGUUGAACUCACCAUCUCAUUAUUUAUCCUUUUCAGGCUUAUAGCUUGAUAGCAGGUCACUUUUGUUGGACUUUCCGAACCUGCUCUUUUGGUUGUAAUUUGUACAUUUUCCUUUAUGUCUAGUUAGUGCUCCAAAACUCCGAAUUUAUAUUAACUCUUGUAUUAAGACAAUUCAAUUAUAUUAUGAAGUUGAUUUUGUUAUUAAUGCUGCGUUGAACUCUGAUUGAGUUAGGAUAAGUUUGUGUGUAAGUUUGGGUUCGCAUAGGUAUGGAACCUUGGAGGGGAACCUUGCCUAUGUGCCGGUCAUGGAUCCGGGAUUCGGGUCGUGACAAACUUGGUAUCAGAGCUUUAGGUUAAAGAAACAAUAAUAUAAUUAAGUUUCGUAAUAAGUGGAGCAUUAAGAUCCGUAUCGUCUUGUUUGUUGUUUUUGAAAUUUUGAAUUCUCUUCAAGCAUGUCUUCUUCCUUGUGAUAGAUAUGUUUUCCUAUAAUUUUAUGAUAAUUAUCAUGCUAUUGUUCUAGCAUGACUUGAGUGCUCUCACUUUUAUUUUAGGAAAUGCCGACGAAUAGACGAAUAGCUGAUACUGUUAGAGUAGAGGAUGAUCAAGAUAAUGUCCCUAUUGGGCGGUUGAGAACUGCAAGGCAGAGAAGGAGGCGCGGUGCACCCGUGCCUCAACAUGUUGAGGAGGUACCUCCACCAGUGGAGGAAGAGCCUCAGGAGAUAGAAGAGGAAGAUAUUGUUGAUGAAACAAGUGUGGGGGUAGCUGACCCUGAACCUGUUACAGAGUUUCAGCAACUUAGCCAGGUUGUGCGGACCUGGAUAGAGUUUUCUAUGGAGAGAGAUAGAAGGAGGGAUAGAGAUGUACCCUCGACAUCCCACACUGUUCAGGGAGUUAAUGUGCCGUUGAAUGACUUCAUGAAGUUGGCACCUCCUAUUUUUACUGGGAUGGAUAGUUCAGAGGAUCCUCAGAGGUUCCUAGAUGAUAUUUGGCGACGGUGUGAAGCUUUGGGAUGUACAGACCACCGAGCUGUGAGUUUGGCAUCGUUCAGGUUGGAAGGAGAUGUGGCAAUCUCUUGGUUUGAGUCUAGGAAAAGAGCAAGACCAGUAGAGGCUCAGUGGACAUGGAAGGAGUUUAGCUCCAUGUUCUUAGACAGGUUUCUCCCUCAGAGCGUCAGGGAUGCUCGACUUUAUGAGUUUGAGAGGCUAUCUCAGGGGAGCAUGAUAGUGGAUGAGUAUGAUCUGAAGUUUACUCAGCUGUCUAGGUAUGCAGAACAUCUCCUACCCACUGAGGAGUGGAGGGUGAAGAGGUUUAUUAGAGGACUCAAAUCCUCUAUGUAUAAGGUGAUGGUGUCACAGGUGUUUCCAUCAUACUCUUUAGCUGUUGAUAGCGCCAGAUUGAUAGAGGCACGAGAAUUGGAGGAUAUGACUGCAGGCCAGUCUAAGAGGCCUAGAGAAGAGGGUCAGUCUUUUAGGCAACAGGGAUUAAGUGCAGGUCCGUCUAGGGGACGAAGUGGCCGUCAGGGCUCAUGGGUUCAGAGGAGGUUUAGACAGAGACCGUCAGUUAGUGGCUCAGGCGGUCAGAGUGGUAGUAGUGGUACUCAGAGUUUAGUUCAGACUGCACCUCGUAGUUCAUUUAUUACACCUAGUGAUAGUUCUUCAUGUCAGCACUGUGGAGGAAGUCAUACUAGUGCAGAGUGCUACAGAAGGACCGGGGCUUGUUUUAGUUGUGGCCAGAUAGGUCAUAAGAUCAGAGAGUGCCCGAGGAGACAGUUGUCAGCUUCGGGGUUAUCUGCUUCAGUCCAACAUCCUAUUCAGGCACCAUCGACGAGCCAGUCUGUGGCUCAUGGGGGUAGAGGUUUUGGUGGCCGGGGUGCAGGUGAUAGAGGUCAGAUACAGCAGGGUCAGGGGCAUGCUAGAGUUUUUACCUUGACUCAGCAGGAUGCUCAGGCAUCCAACACAGUUGUUUCAGGUAUUCUUCCUGUUUGCUCUUUUGAAGCAAAAGUGUUGUUUGAUACGAGUGCAACCCAUUCAUUUAUGUCUCUAUAUUUUGCCAUGAGGUUAGAUAAACAACUAACCUUGUUAAAAUCCCCCAUUUCAGUCUCCACUCCCUUAGAUGAAUUAAUAUUAGUGAAGUAUGUGUAUCUGGAUUGUGAAAUAGAGAUUGGAGAUAAGAUCUUUAUGGGAGACUUAAAUGUCUUAGAUAUGGUUGAUUUUGAUGUGAUUUUGGGAAUGGAUUGGUUGGCAAAGCAUAGGGCUUCGGUAAAUUGUUGGGGUAAGAAAAUAAUAUUUGAUCUAGAUGAAGAAGUUGGGUUGGUAUUUCAAGGAGAUAAGAUUGGGUCUCCAUCAAUUAUGUUGUCGGCUAUCUCGAGGAAAAUGGCCAGAAAAGGGGUACAGUGCUACCUAGCAUAUAUAGUGGAUGUAGAGAAAGAAGUUUCCCAGUUAGACCAAGUCCCUAUAGUUAGGGAGUUUAUCGAUGUCUUUCCCGAUGACUUACCUGGAUUGCCUCCAUAUAGGGAGAUUGAGUUUUGUAUUGAUUUGGUUCCGGGUACCGAACCAAUAUCAAUGGCACCAUAUAGAAUGGCGCCAGCAGAAUUGAGGGAGCUAAAGGAGCAACUGCAGGAUUUGUUGGAUAAAAAGUUCAUCCGACCAAGUGUGUCCCCUUGGGGAGCCCCAGUGUUGUUUGUGAAGAAGAAAGAUGGGUCAUUGAGGUUAUGUAUAGAUUAUAGGCAACUGAAUCGGGUGACUAUUCGAAAUAGAUACCCACUCCCUCGCAUUGAUGAUUUGUUUGACCAGUUGCAGGGAGCUCAAUUCUUUUCUAAGAUCGAUCUUCGAUCUGGAUAUCAUCAGUUGAGGAUUAGGGAGACAGACAUUUUGAAGACAGCUUUUAGAACUCGGUAUGGUCAUUAUGAGUUCUUAGUGAUGUCUUUUGGGUUGAUGAAUGCACCAGCAGCUUUUAUGGAUUUGAUGAAUAGAGUGUUUGGCCAGUUUAUUGAUCGAUUUGUAAUAGUUUUUUAUUAAUGAUAUUUUGGUGUAUUCGAGGUCUAGGGAGGAGCAUGAGCAGCACUUGAGAAUGGUGCUUCAAACUCUGCGAGAUCAUCAGCUGUAUGGCAAGUUCUCAAAGAGUGAGUUUUGGUUGGAGAGUGUAGCAUUUCUUGGGCAUGUAGUGUCAAGGAAUGGGAUUGAGGUUGAUCCUCAAAAGAUUGAGGCAGUUAAACAGUGGCUUAGACCUACUUCGGCGACAGAGAUUAGAAGUUUCUUAGGUUUGGCCGGCUAUUAUCGGAGGUUUGUAGAGAACUUUUCUCGGAUUUCUGCACCAUUGACUAAGUUGACGCAGAAAAAUGUUAAGUUUCAGUGGUCUGAAGCUUGUGAGAAAAGUUUCUUAGAGUUGAAAGAGAGAUUGACUACAGCGCCUGUUCUAGCAGUACCAUCAGGUUCUGGUGGUUACACAGUGUAUUGUGAUGCUUCGAGAGUGGGGUUAGGAUGUGUUCUAAUGCAGCAUGGCAAGGUUAUUGCCUAUGCUUCACGGCAGCUGAAGAAGCAUGAACAGAACUAUCCUACACAUGAUUUAGAGAUGGCGGCUGUAAUUUUUGCCUUGAAGAUUUGGAGGCACUACUUGUAUGGUGAAACUUGUGAGAUCUUCACAGAUCACAAGAGUUUGAAAUACAUCUUUCAGCAGAGGGAUCUAAACAUGAGGCAAAGGAGAUGGAUGGAACUGCUGAAGGAUUAUGAUUGUACCAUACAUUACCACCCGGGUAAGGCAAAUGUAGUUGCCGAUGCUUUGAGUAGAAAAUCAUCAGGGAGCUUAGCUCAUAUUCAGGAGGUACGAAGACCUCUGAUUAGGGAGCUGCAUGAGUUGGUGGAUGAAGGAGUCAGAUUUGAUCUUAGUGAAGCUGGAGCAAUGAUUGCUUAUUUUCAGGUUAAGUCAGAUUUGUUUGAUAAGAUAAAAGCAGCUCAGAAGAAAGAUGAUUCACUACUCAGAAUUAGAAAUGAGGUUGAGCAGGGUAAGGCUGCAGGUUUUGUGAUAGGUGAUGAUGAUGUGCUGAGAUAUAGGGAUAGGCUUUGUGUACCUGAUGUAGAUGAUCUGAGGAGAGAAUUGAUGGUAGAGGCACAUCAGACAGUUUACACAAUACAUCCAGGUUCCACCAAGAUGUAUAAAGACCUUAAGGUGUGUUAUUGGUGGAAUAGGAUGAAGGCUGAUGUAGCAGAUUUUGUUUCUAGGUGUUUGACCUGUCAGAGGGUAAAGGGUGAACACCAGAAACCUCCUGGAUUGUUGCAACCAUUGUUGAUUCCAGAAUGGAAGUGGGAAAGGAUCACAAUGGACUUUGUGACAGGAUUGCCUAGGAGUCAGGAGGGUUAUGAUUCAAUAUGGGUGAUUGUUGACAGGUUGACAAAAUCAGCCCAUUUUCUGCUAGUUAGGAUUACUUAUGGAUAUGCAAAGUUGGCAGAAUUAUUUAUUAGUGAGAUUGUACGGUUGCAUGGAGUGUCAAUCUCGAUAGUGUCUGAUAGAGGUCCACAGUUUACAUCGCGGUUUUAGGUGAAAUUCCAAGAAGCUAUGGGUACUAAAGUGCAGUUGAGUACAGCUUUUCACCCUCAGACAGAUGGUCAAUCUGAGAGGACUAUUCAGAUCUUGGAGGAUAUGCUAAGAGCUUGUGUUAUGGAUUUUGGAGUUGGUUGGAGUAAGUUCCUACCAUUAGUGGAAUUUGCUUACAACAACAGUUAUCAGGCUAGCAUAGAGAUGGCACCUUAUGAGGCUUUGUAUGGUCGGAAGUGUAGAUCACCGGUUUGUUGGUUUGAGGUUGGUGAGAAGAGGCUAAUGGGACCGGAGUUGAUUCAGAUUACCUCAGAGAAGAUAGAGGUAAUUAGACAGAAGCUUCAAACAGCUCAGAGUAGACAAAAGAGUUACGCAGAUAAAAGAAGGCGUGACUUAGAGUUUUCAGUGGGUGAUUGUGUGUUCUUAAAAGUAUCACCGACAAAAGGAGUAUUCAGGUUUGGGAAGAAAGGCAAGUUGAGUCCUCGAUUCAUUGGACCGUAUGAGAUUCUGGAGAGAGUUGGGGCAGUUGCUUAUAGUUAGCAUUACCACCAAACUUGUCCGCUAUUCAUCCGGUAUUUCAUGUUUCAAUGCUAAGGAAGUAUAUGUCAGAUCCAUCGCAUGUAUUAGAGGUUUAUCCCAUUGAAUUGAGGGAUGAUAUGGUUUAUGAGGUGCAACCAGAAGCUAUAGUCGACCGACAAGUGAGGAAGCUUAGGUCGAAGGAUAUAGCUUCAGUGAAAGUGAAAUGGAAAGGUCAUUCACGUGAGGAAGCGACCUGGGAGCUCGAGGAUAAGAUGCGUGAGGAGUAUCCUCAUCUUUUCGAUAAUCUCGGUAAGUAUUCAAUCUUUUCUAUUAAGUUUCGAGGACGAAACUUUUAUAAGGUGGGGAGAUUGUAAUGUUUUGUAUUAAAAGAUAGGAAAUGGCAACAAGGCCCUUGAAUGCUUAGAUGUAGGAAUAAAUUAAAUGAGGGGUAGUGUGGUAAUUGAACAAUAGUUGAUAUAUAUAAAUAGAGAGAAGGAAAAAAAAAACAAAAGAGAGAUCUGAAAAAUUUGGGAGAGAAUCGGCAGGAGAGAAGGGAGAAAGAAGAAGAAGAGAAAAGAGGGGGAAAUAAGGGAAACAGGAAAGGAGUUGAAGAGAAUAAGUUUAAAGGUAAGAUUUAGGUUGUUAAAUGUAUAAAUGUACGUUAAUUGAGCUUAAUUUCAGUUUUGAUUAAUGUUAGGGUUUUGAAAAUUUGUGUUUUGGGUUUAAUUGAUGAAUUAAAUUGAAUGUUAUAAGGUUGAUUGUUAUGGGUAAUUGAUUAAUGAGUUGAUUAUGGAAGAUCGUGAUGAUUUUGAGUUAUGAAUUGUGUAAAUGGUGAAUGUUGAGUUAGAAAUUUGGCAAGAACAGUAGGUAAUCUGUGAGAAUUCUGGGUUUGAGGUUGAAGAUGACGAAAAUUCAAUUUGGUCCCUCAAUUUUGGAAAAUUACAGUUUAGUCCCCAAACUUUGGAAAAUUUGCAGAUUGGUCCCUGGAGCAUAUUCCGAGAUUCUGAACAGAAUAACAUAUGAAUUAUGGACAGAAUUACUGUAUAGAUAAGAGAAUUUAACACUUUCAAUUUAGUCCUUCAAUUUGACAAAAAUUACAAUUUGACCCUAAAAAUUUGGUAAAAUUCCAAAAUGGUCCUUGGAGUAUAAUGAGAUGAUCUGGACAGAAAUGAGGACUAAUUAUGGUCAGAAUUUCAGUAUAUUCAUGGAUUUAUGAUAAAUUUCAGUUUGGUCCUCCAAUUAGACAAAAAUUGCAAUUUGACCCUUAAAAAUAGGAUAAAUUACAGAUUAGUCCCUAGCUGUAAUACUAGCUUUUGCAGAUUGGUUUGAUGAAUAAUUAAGGGUUAUUUAGUGAACUAUUUCCAAUUUUAUUAGUUGUUUUAUUAUGAUUAGAUUUCGGGAAAACCGUUAAAUUUUGGGUUUUUGAGAAAAUUGACUAGUUAGUUCAAAAACAUAUAGGGUUACGGAAUACAUCAUUAGUUAAGUUUAUUAAAUAGGUUAAAUGUUCUUUUGAGUCGUUCUUGAAUAUGUCUUCUUUGUAUUCAGAUAAUCCUGAUAUUCUACCGGCAGGACGUCAGUAGGAUUUUCUUCAGUAUUUGCUCUUGGCUUCUGUUUGCUUUUGAGUCAGGUGAGAGGAUAAUUUUCCAUAUGCAUGAGAAAUAGUAUAAAUAUUUGAUUUGUUAAUAUGAAUUGAAUCAUGCUUCUUGAUAAUAUAUAUGUUGAUUAUUAUCCUUGUUUUGAUAAAGCAUGAUCAAUUGUUGAAUCUGAAUUCUUGAUAUGAACCAGUAUAUAUUUUGAAUUGAAUUCUGAAUUGAUAGCUCCUCAUUUGAUUGAUGUCAUGAGUUGAGCCUUGAGAUAUGAAUACGUCUGUUUGAUUAUGAUUAUGAACCUAUGGUAUGUCAGUCAGAAUACCCAUACUAACAGGGUAGUGUUAGUCUUUGUGCACAUCGUAUCUGAACCCUAGUUGGUCGGGGGAGUCACUAACCUGUGUGGACUGAUCAUCCCACAGUACGGAGCCUCAUGCUCAUUGCAUUUUGAUUUUCUGACGAGUUUUACCAUAUGAUAUUCUUGUUAUGGCCUAUUUGAGAAACCUUUCUAUAAGAACCUAGAGCCAUACUUGUAUAUAUAUUUCUCAUUGCUGUAUUACCUCGUGUGUGUAUAUUGAACGUUAUCUACUCACUGAGUUGUUGAACUCACCAUCUCAUUAUUUAUCCUUUUCAGGCUUAUAGCUUGAUAGCAGGUCACUUUUGUUGGACUUUCCGAACCUGCUCUUUUGGUUGUAAUUUGUACAUUUUCCUUUAUGUCUAGUUAGUGCUCCAAAACUCCGAAUUUAUAUUAACUCUUGUAUUAAGACAAUUCAAUUAUAUUAUGAAGUUGAUUUUGUUAUUAAUGCUGCGUUGAACUCUGAUUGAGUUAGGAUAAGUUUGUGUGUAAGUUUGGGUUCGCAUAGGUAUGGAACCUUGGAGGGGAACCUUGCCUAUGUGCCGGUCAUGGAUCCGGGAUUCGGGUCGUGACAAGGGAUUUGUUUUUUGUGGUGAUACAGCGCAAACAAUUGCUAGUGGGAUUGACUUUAGGUUUGAAGAUAUAAGAUCUUUGUUCUAUAAGGAGUUUGUUUUAGUAUCAAGGAGUGCGGGAAAUGACAGAAACGAGAAAGGUCAAAUAUCUAAAAUAUUUCAUUUGAGCCAGAACUUCCGUACCCAUGCUGGUGUGCUCAAUUUAGCUCAGAGUGUUAUUGAUCUUCUUUACCGUUUUUUCCCUUCAUUUAUUGAUGUUUUAAGCCAUGAAACAAGUCUUAUUUAUGGGGAAGCUCCUAUUUUACUUGAAUCUGGAAAUGAUGAAAAUGCAAUUGUAACUAUUUUCGGGAAUAGUGGGAAUGUGAGAAGCAAUUUUGUUGGGUUUGGAGCAGAGCAGGUGAUAUUGGUGCGGGAUGAUGCUGCUAGGAAAGAGAUUGAUAACUAUGUUGGGAAGCAUGCUCUUGUUUUGACUGUUGUAGAGUGCAAGGGCCUAGAAUUUCAGGUCAGUGGUUUACUGUACAUCUUGUUUUUCCUAUUUAGAACAUUAUCUUUCCAAGCGCGUUUUCCUUUUGUCCAAGUCCAACACAUUUGAUCACCACAUUGAUAAUUUUUACCAUGCUCCUAACUUCAGCCUUUCGAUAAUUUGUACCUCUUUAGUUCUGAAUUGUUGUUCUGAAGCGCGUUUUCGAUGAAAGAGCUGAUACGUUUUUUAAAUCUGAUGGAUGUUAACAAUCUUAACAAACAUUCACAUUUCUUUUAGCCACUGAUGUCUUUGCCCUUUUAACUCUUUGCCUCCUUUUUUUUUAGGAUGUCCUCUUGUACAACUUUUUUGGCUCAUCACCUUUGAAAAAUAAAUGGAGAGUUGUCUAUGAGUUUAUGAAGGAACAAGAUUUACUUGAUGCCAAUUCCCCAUCCUUUCCAAGUUUCAUCCCAGCAAAACAUAAUGUCUUGUGCUCUGAGUUGAAGCAAUUAUACGUUGCUAUCACUCGAACACGGCAAAGGUUGUGGAUUUGUGAGAAUGUGGAGGAGUUCUCCAGACCAAUGUUUGACUACUGGACGAAGAAGGGCCUUGUCCAAGUGAGGAAACUGGAUGAUUCGCUUGCCCAAGCAAUGCAAGUUUCUAGCAGUCCAGAAGAGUGGAAGUCUCAGGGUUACAAGGUUUGCUUCUUGUUAUACUAAUGUAGCAUUUAACUUAUAAUUUCUUGAUUUUGAUGUUCUUAAAAAACAUUUAAUAUGCAAUCUCUAUUUAAUUAUUUUUUGUGAUUGAUCAAAAGUUGCUGCAUUCACUUGUCGAGGUAAAAUUUGUCUUGGACUGGAGGUUAUCCAUAUUGUUCACAAAAUUUUUGAGUUUGAUAUCUUGGUUUAUUGCUUUCAGUGAUAUUAGAUGUUUUCAACAUGCCAUUCCUACUUGUUUGAAAGGACAUAAAAGUGUCUUUCACACUGCAUUCUUGUCGUCUCGCCAUGCUCAUACAAGUGUAACUUGCCUUUUCUAUACCUUUUGUUGGUGUCACACAGCUUUUACGUGAGGGUAACUAUGAGAUGGCAACUAUGUGCUUUGAAAGAGCAGGGGAUGAACAUGGGGAGAAAUUGUCCAAGGCUGCUGGGCAUAAAGCAGCUGCUGACAGAAUGCAUAGUUCAAAUCCUGAAAUGGCUUCUGUUGCCCGUAGGCAGGCUGCAGAAAUUUUUGAAUCAAUAGGCAAGGCUGAGUAUGCUGCCGAAUGCUUUUACAUGUUGAAGGAGUAUGAUAGGGCAGGUAUGCUUUUGUUCUAUCUUCACUUCUUUUUCAGUGUUUUUACAGAAACAUGAGCUGAUCGAUGGAAAAUAUAUUUGACAGAAAAGCAGUCUUGCAACCACUGUUAUUCUGCACUUUUGGUUUUCUAAUGUCUCUGUUAGUUAUGACCAUUGCCCGUGUCCCUUGUACACUGAAUUAAUAUUCUUCAUUGCAAAUUGCACCAUCUUUUCUGUGAGAAAAUUAUCUAUGAAAUUCACAGACUUGCAAAUUAGUUGACUGGAUGAUCAUAACCUUAAGUUGCAGUUAUUACCGAGUAGGAUUUACUGGCCUCUGCAGGUAGGAUUUACUUGCAAUGUGGGGAAUCUGCAAUGGAAAGAGCUGGAGAAUGUUUUUUUCUUGCUGGAAGUUAUUGUUCUGCAGCUGAAGUAUAUGCAAAAGGCUGGAAUUUCUCCAAGUGCUUGUCUGCAUGUACCAAAGGAAAACUCUUCGACACGGGCUUGCAUUAUAUACUGUACUGGAAACAACACGGGACUGCAGAUCAAAGAAGCAGAGAAAUGGAUACAAUUGAACAAGAGUUUCUGGAGAGCUGUGCUUGUCAUUAUUACGAGCUCAAUGACAACAGAGCCAUGAUGAGAUAUGUUAGAGCUUUUGAUUCCAUGUCUUCAGCUCGUACUUUCUUGAUUAAUUUAGGGUGCCUUGAUGAGCUUCUGUCAUUGGAAGUGGAAUCAGGCAACUUCCUGGAGGCGGCGGGCAUUGCGAAGCUGAAAGGUGAGCUUGUCCUUGAGGCAGAUCUACUGGGCAAGGGUGGACAUUUUAAGGAGGCAUCAUUGCUUAUUCUGUGGUUUGUGUUUGCAAACUCUCUCUGGUCAACUGGGAGCAAAGGCUGGCCUUUAAAGCAGUUUCUUCAGAAAGAGGAACUUUUAACAAAAGCUAAGUUACUUGCAAAGGGUGUGUCAAACCAGUUUUAUGAGUUUGUUCACACAGAGGCUGAAAUUUUAUUGAAUAGCCAGCACAACUUAUUCAAGAUUCAUCAAAGUCUAGAUUCUUCUCAGAGACAUAGUAGUAUCAGAGGUGAAAUAUUAUCAGCUCGAAAGAUGCUGGACAUGCAUCUUCAUUUAAAUACCUCAAAGUAUUUGUGGGAAAAUAACUUAGUGUCUGAUUUAGCAAGGUUGUCAGAAAGAAACUUUUUGAACAACCAGGUCUCUGCUGAGACACUUGUUUACUUUUGGAAUUUUUGGAAGGAUAAGAUUGUGAACAUAUUCAAGUUUCUUGGACGUCUUGAAAUGCAAGAUGUAACUGAAUAUGGAGAUUUUGGUGAAUUCUGCUUGAAUUACUUGGGCGUGAAGAGACAGUUUAAAAAUCUGAACGCUAUCUAUUUUCUGAUGAUCUCGGAUGCUCAGUGGGUGAGGGAAAUACCCAGAAAAUUUAUUCAAAGGAAGGGGAACUUGGUUUCUGUAGAUGUUCAUCAGUUUGUCACUGCUGCUCAGGGUUAUUGGUGUUCGGAAUUACUUUCUGUCGGCAUGAAUGUAUUGACCAAUCUUGAAGCCCUUUACAAUUUAUCAGUUAGGAAUUCCUUGUCCCUCUUUUGCCAAAGCAGGUCUCUUACUCAUAUAUAUGAGGUGGCAAAUUUUCUUUUGAAUUGCCAGUUUCUAAGUAUUCAACACGGUGAUAUCAAGGCACUGCAGAAAUUCACUCGACUGGCAACUGGAUGCUUCUAUGAUUGCAUCUAUCCUAGGGACUGGAGAGAAUCACUGAAAGAGAAUAUGAUUUCGUUGAGGAGAACUGAGAUUUGUAGGAAUUUACUCAAGGAAGUUAUCUUUGAAGAUGUGAGCUCAAAGAACAAUCUGUCUUAUGCGCAACUUGGAAGGAUCACAUUGAUGAUUCUUGGUUCUGGUGAGAUGUUAUGUGAACCAUAUGAGAAGAUGGCAGAUGGUUUAAAAUGGAAUUCUUCAUGGAAGGCUUUCAUUGAGGAUCUCUGUAGGAAUGAGAGUGAGGUGUCCUAUAUGCGGAAGUUGCAUGAAGCUCUGGUAGAUACUUAUUAUGCCAACUGGAGGAAAGGAGAUUAUAUCUUGCCUGGUUGUUUCUUAUACAUGCUCGAACGCCAACUAAUUUUGUUAUCCUACUUCCAAGGCUAUUGUUUUACAACAAAGUCUUCUUUUGUGGAAUGGCUUAUCUACCAAGAAGGCCAUGGGAGUCCAGCUUUUGAAGGUUUGAGGGGACAUGCACCCCAAUCUACAGAAAGCAUCCUGGAGUUUAUUGUUGACACUGUUCAGCUGUUUCUUGAUAAUGAGAAGGAAAUGAUGGAGUGGAUAAGAGCAUCAGAAAAGAACGUGAAGGUCCUGAAUGACUACCAUGCUGUAGUAGUGUUGAGAUUGGUUGUCAUAAUAUGUUUAAUUUAUGUGAACUUUGGAUUGUGUAAAGGCUUGCUUUCUGACUUGCUGGGUAGGACCUAUAUCACCAAAAAACUGCCAGGUCAAUUUUAUGAUGCCAUCCGGAAGAGGCAGAAGCAUAAUUCUCUGAAUGUAAAUCCAACUGUGGUAGCUGAAGCAUUUAGCAAGAUUGGCAAUCCUCUGGUAGUUGUGAGUUUUGGUAAAAAUUGCUCAAGAUUUUUAUGUCCAGAUGCUAUUUUUGUGGACAUGAAGGUCAAUGAAAGCAAAGACAACGUAUUAAGAGUCUUGUUUCCAAAGACUGAUGCUACAGCUCAGGAUCACACGGGAGCUGUUGAAGCAAACACUAGGAGCUCAUUCAAAGGAAUAGUGUCUCAGGGCAUUGAAGAUCUGGGGAAGAUAACUGAGCUUCCAUCUAAUGUUGGAGACACGGCUAACUGGAACUCGAGGUGUGGGAAAAAGGAUGAGGGUAACCCUCCAUUGAGCCAUGACCGGCUUUGGGAAAUAUUUGAAGCACUAAAAUCUCCGACCCAUGGAGUAGAUGAAAGAAGCAAUAUUGCAUGCGAUCCAACAUUUAAGGUAAUGCUGCUUUUCGAAUUAUUUUUUAUUUUUUUAGCAUGCUCAGAGACAUGGUUAUCUCUUUCUGCUAUUCAUUUUAUCAUUUAUUUUUCAGGUGGAUAUAGACAGAAUUACUUGCCUUUUAAAAGCAGCAAUUGAUGGAAAUUUUCAGAACCCUCCCAGUGUUGAUAAUAAAAACCUGCUUGAGGAAGCUUCCACCAUGCUUCACGAAUUGGGGCAACUUAAUGCUGCAUUAGAAAUGAGGUCGGUGUAAACAUGAUGCCUAGAUCCAUGGUAUUUAAUGAAGUAUUUCAUUCUACUUGCUACGAUAAUAUUUCAAGUAAAUUUUAUUUUCAGGGAACCAGAACAUGAGAGCGACAUUUCUACAAUUGGAGAACUUCUCGAGAAGCUGCAGUCAAGAAGGCCAAGAAUGGAAUUUUUCCUAAGCCAGAUAUUCUUGCAACACGAUGAAAAUCAUAAAAGAGAGAUGUCAGAGAGAAACAUUGCAUCAGAUGGCCAACGUGAUGAGGAACAUAGUAACAGCAAGGCUGAGGGGAGUUGCGUUUCUGCUAAAGGUGAGAUAAACAUUUCACGGAGUAAUGUUGAAACCGGAGGUAGAAACCCUGAUACGGAGAACAAGGGGAAGGGAAACAGCAAGUCCAAGAAAAACAAGAAGGGAAAAGGAGGGCGGAAACUCAAGUAGCCUUAAACCUUUAACGAAUUAAGGAAAUAAUAUUUCUCAAAAAAAUCACCUUUUCUUCUGCCUUUGUUUAUAGCAGUGUGAUUUUUCCUUUCCUUUCCCUUUUUUUUUUUCCUGUAUGGAGAAAGAAAAAAAGAAAUAUUAUGAGGUCAUAACACC